UGAGUAACACGUAUCCAACCUGCCGACAACACUGGGAUAGCCUUUCGAAAGAAAGAUUAAUACCGGAUGGUAUAGUUUUCCCGCAUGGGAUGAUUAUUAAAGAAUUUCGGUUGUCGAUGGGGAUGCGUUCCAUUAGGCAGUUGGCGGGGUAACGGCCCACCAAACCUACGAUGGAUAGGGGUUCUGAGAGGAAGGUCCCCCACAUUGGAACUGAGACACGGUCCAAACUCCUACGGGAGGCAGCAGUGAGGAAUAUCGGUCAAUGGACGAGAGUCUGAACCAGCCAAGUAGCGUGAAGGAUGACUGCCCUAUGGGUUGUAAACUUCUUUUAUACGGGAAUAAAGUGAGCCACGUGUGGCUUUUUGUAUGUACCGUAUGAAUAAGGAUCGGCUAACUCCGUGCCAGCAGCCGCGGUAAUACGGAGGAUCCGAGCGUUAUCCGGAUUUAUUGGGUUUAAAGGGAGCGUAGGCGGGUUGUUAAGUCAGUUGUGAAAGUUUGCGGCUCAACCGUAAAAUUGCAGUUGAUACUGGCGACCUUGAGUGCAACAGAGGUAGGCGGAAUUCGUGGUGUAGCGGUGAAAUGCUUAGAUAUCACGAAGAACUCCGAUUGCGAAGGCAGCUUACUGGAUUGUAACUGACGCUGAUGCUCGAAAGUGUGG
RNAcentral lists this ribosomal RNA (658 nucleotides) under uncultured bacterium. RNAcentral describes it as "bacterial SSU rRNA". It matches the Rfam family "Bacterial small subunit ribosomal RNA", at positions 107 to 764 of the family's 1533-position model. The record is from RNAcentral.